GGUCCAUUGGCGAAAUGGUAUCGCGUCGGUCUCCUAAACUGAAGAUUGUGGGUUCGAGCCCCAUGUGGAUCG
Molecule: non-coding RNA, 72 nt
Organism: Aspergillus campestris IBT 28561
Lineage: Eukaryota; Fungi; Ascomycota; Eurotiomycetes; Eurotiales; Aspergillaceae
Source: the annotation of a RefSeq genome assembly